RNAcentral lists this ribosomal RNA (373 nucleotides) under uncultured bacterium. RNAcentral's name for it is "bacterial SSU rRNA". It matches the Rfam family "Bacterial small subunit ribosomal RNA", at positions 523 to 898 of the family's 1533-position model. The record is from RNAcentral.
AUACGGAGGAUCCGAGCGUUGUCCGGAUUUACUGGGUUUAAAGGGUGCGUAGGCGGGUGGCUCAGUCGGCGGUGAAAUGCAGCGGCUCAACCGUUGCCCUGCCGUCGAAACUGGCCGCCUUGAAUUCGGUCGAGGCCGGCGGAAUGCGCGGUGUAGCGGUGAAAUGCUUAGAUAUCGCGCGGAACGCCGAUUGCGGAGGCAGCUGGCUGGACCGAGAUUGACGCUGAUGCACGACAGCGUGGGGAUCGAACAGGAUUAGAUACCCUGGUAGUCCACGCCGUAAACGAUGAUGGCUGGGUGUUGCCGAUACACUGUCAGCGCCUGAGCGAAAGCAUUAAGCCAUCCACCUGGGGAGUACGAUCGCAAGGUUGAA